UCUCAAGUGUAAACUGGCAUU
Molecule: non-coding RNA, 21 nt
Filed under: Caenorhabditis elegans
Lineage: Eukaryota; Metazoa; Nematoda; Chromadorea; Rhabditida; Rhabditidae
Source: RNAcentral